CUUGUACUCCCUUUGUCUCAAAAUUCUUGUUUUAGAUUUGUCUAAAUAUGGAUGUUUUAUUUGAUACAUCCGUAUCUAGACAAAUUUAAGACAAGAAUUUUAAGACGGAGGAAGUAUGUU
Triticum urartu is the source of this 120-nucleotide non-coding RNA. Lineage: Eukaryota; Viridiplantae; Streptophyta; Magnoliopsida; Poales; Poaceae. The record is from Rfam.